RNAcentral lists this ribosomal RNA (253 nucleotides) under uncultured bacterium. Its description in RNAcentral is "partial 16S ribosomal RNA". It matches the Rfam family "Bacterial small subunit ribosomal RNA", at positions 524 to 776 of the family's 1533-position model. The record is from RNAcentral.
UACGAAGGGGGCUAGCGUUGCUCGGAAUGACUGGGCGUAAAGGGCGCGUAGGCGGCGGUCACAGUCAGAUGUGAAAUUCCUGGGCUUAACCUGGGGGCUGCAUUUGAUACGUGGUUGCUUGAGUGGGGAAGAGGGUCGUGGAAUUCCCAGUGUAGAGGUGAAAUGCGUAGAUAUCGGGAGGAACACCUGUGGCGAAAGCGGCGCACUGGACCACAACUGACGCUGAGGCGCGAAAGCUAGGGGAGCAAACAGG